This 446-nucleotide ribosomal RNA is filed under the name uncultured bacterium. RNAcentral describes it as "bacterial SSU rRNA". It matches the Rfam family "Bacterial small subunit ribosomal RNA", at positions 330 to 792 of the family's 1533-position model. The record is from RNAcentral.
ACCAGACUCCUACGGGAGGCAGCAGUGGGGAAUAUUGCACAAUGGGGGAAACCCUGAUGCAGCAACGCCGCGUGAGUGAGGAAGUAUUUCGGUAUGUAAAGCUCUAUCAGCAGGGAAUAGAAAAGAAGGUACCUGAAAAAGAAGCCCCGGCUAACUACGUGCCAGCAGCCGCGGUAAUACGUAGGGGGCAAGCGUUAUCCGGAUUUACUGGGUGUAAAGGGAGCGUAGACGGCGAUGCAAGUCUGAAGUGAAAGCCCGGGGCUCAACCCCGGGACUGCUUUGGAAACUGUAUGGCUGGAGUGCUGGAGAGGCAAGCGGAAUUCCUAGUGUAGCGGUGAAAUGCGUAGAUAUUAGGAAGAACACCAGUGGCGAAGGCGGCUUGCUGGACAGUAACUGACGUUGAGGCUCGAAAGCGUGGGGAGCAAACAGGAUUAGAUACCCUGGUA